UGUUGCGGUUAAAAAGCUCGUAGUUGGAUCUCGGCAGGCAGGGGGCGGUUCGAUAUCUGUCGUUACUGCCCCAUUUGCCUGUGUGAUUGGCGGAGGUUUCGGGGUGCUCUUAACCGAGUGUGCCGAGAUGCCGUCAGGUUUACUUUGAAAAAAUUAGAGUGCUCAAAGCAGGCAUCAUCGCUUGAAUAUUCGUGCAUGGAAUAAUGGAAUAGGAACUCGUUUCUAUUUUGUUGGUUUUCGGAAAUCGAGUUAAUGAUUAAUAGGGACAAGUGGGGGCAUUAGUAUUCAUACGACAGAGGUGAAAUUCUUGGACCUCCUGAAGACUAACUACUGCAUAAAGCAUUUGCCAAGAGUGUUUUCAUUAAUCAAGAA
RNAcentral lists this ribosomal RNA (372 nucleotides) under uncultured marine eukaryote. Its description in RNAcentral is "SSU rRNA". It matches the Rfam family "Eukaryotic small subunit ribosomal RNA", at positions 611 to 983 of the family's 1831-position model. The record is from RNAcentral.